This 429-nucleotide ribosomal RNA is filed under the name Pseudomonadota bacterium. Its description in RNAcentral is "Proteobacteria bacterium partial 16S ribosomal RNA". It matches the Rfam family "Bacterial small subunit ribosomal RNA", at positions 355 to 776 of the family's 1533-position model. Lineage: Bacteria; Pseudomonadati; Pseudomonadota. The record is from RNAcentral.
UGGGGAAUAUUGGACAAUGGGCGAAAGCCUGAUCCAGCCAUGCCGCGUGUGUGAAGAAGGUCUUCGGAUUGUAAAGCACUUUAAGUUGGGAGGAAGGGCAGUAAGCGAAUACCUUGCUGUUUUGACGUUACCGACAGAAUAAGCACCGGCUAACUCUGUGCCAGCAGCCGCGGUAAUACAGAGGGUGCAAGCGUUAAACGGAAUUACUGGGCGUAAAGCGCGCGUAGGUGGUUCGUUAAGUUGAAUGUGAAAGCCCCGGGCUCAACCUGGGAACUGCAUCCAAAACUGGCGAGCUAGAGUAGGGCAGAGGGUGGUGGAAUUUCCUGUGUAGCGGAGAAAUGCGUAGAUAUAGGAAGGAACACCAGUGGCGAAGGCGACCACCUGGGCUCAUACUGACACUGAGGUGCGAAAGCGUGGGGAGCAAACAGG